Molecule: unclassified non-coding RNA, 263 nt
Filed under: Hevea brasiliensis (rubber tree)
Lineage: Eukaryota; Viridiplantae; Streptophyta; Magnoliopsida; Malpighiales; Euphorbiaceae
Source: RNAcentral
UGAUCUAAAGUUACUGGAUUUUUCCCCUUCAAUGUUAGUUUCACAGUCUUCAGGUGAGUAUUCAUGCUAAUAUCCACGCCUGUAAUGGUGCCGUGAACAACAGUUCCAUUCUUGAGCUCAAUUGACACGGUCUCGUUGUUCAACUUCAUCAAAAACCUGACAAGCUUCAUUGUGGGAGAGGAAGGCAAAAUCUAGGGUUUGAAGAAGCACAAUGAAGGCUGACCAAAGAAAGCAGGAGAGGACGGAACCUUUGAAGUGAAGUC